AUAGCGUAUAUUAAAGUUGUUGCAGUUAAAAAGCUCGUAGUUGAACUUUGUGCUUGGCCGCUCGGUCAGCCUAACCGCGUGCACUGAUUGGGCCGGGCUUUUCCUUCUGGCUAACCUCAUGCCCUUUACUGGGUGUGUUGGGGAUCCAGGACUUUUACUUUGAAAAAAUUAGAGUGUUCAAAGCAGGCCUUUGCUCGAAUACAUUAGCAUGGAAUAAUAGAAUAGGACGGCGGUUCUAUUUUGUUGGUUUCUAGAGCCACCGUAAUGAUUAAUAGGGAUAGUCGGGGGCAUCAGUAUUCAAUUGUCAGAGGUGAAAUUCUUGGAUUUAUUGAAGACUAACUAUUG
This 345-nucleotide ribosomal RNA is filed under the name uncultured eukaryote. RNAcentral describes it as "SSU rRNA". It matches the Rfam family "Eukaryotic small subunit ribosomal RNA", at positions 594 to 945 of the family's 1831-position model. The record is from RNAcentral.